GUCUACGGCCAUACACUCCGAACGCACCCAAUCUUGUCUGACCUCAGAAGCUCCGCAGGGUGGGACCUCAUUAGUACUUGGAUGGGAAACUGCCUGGGAAUACAAGACGCUGUAGGCC
Molecule: ribosomal RNA, 118 nt
Filed under: Cercocebus atys (sooty mangabey)
Lineage: Eukaryota; Metazoa; Chordata; Mammalia; Primates; Cercopithecidae
Also listed under: 1 other name
Source: RNAcentral